This 376-nucleotide ribosomal RNA is filed under the name uncultured bacterium. RNAcentral describes it as "bacterial SSU rRNA". It matches the Rfam family "Bacterial small subunit ribosomal RNA", at positions 523 to 898 of the family's 1533-position model. The record is from RNAcentral.
AUACGGAGGGUGCAAGCGUUAAUCGGAUUUACUGGGCGUAAAGCGCGCGUAGGCGGCUUGUUAAGUCGGAUGUGAAAGCCCUGGGCUCAACCUAGGAACUGCAUUCGAUACUGGCGAGCUAGAGUACGAUAGAGGGUGGUAGAAUUCCUAGUGUAGCGGUGAAAUGCGUAGAUAUUAGGAGGAAUACCGGUGGCGAAGGCGGCCACCUGGAUCGAUACUGACGCUGAAGUGCGAAAGCGUGGGGAGCAAACAGGAUUAGAUACCCUGGUAGUCCACGCCGUAAACUAUGUCUACUAGCCGUUGGGAGACUUGAUCUCUUAGUGGCGCAGCUAACGCGAUAAGUAGACCGCCUGGGGAGUACGGUCGCAAGACUAAA